RNAcentral lists this ribosomal RNA (253 nucleotides) under uncultured bacterium. RNAcentral's name for it is "partial 16S ribosomal RNA". It matches the Rfam family "Bacterial small subunit ribosomal RNA", at positions 524 to 776 of the family's 1533-position model. The record is from RNAcentral.
GACAGAGGGUGCUAACGUUGUUCGGAUUCAUUGGGCGUAAAGCGCGUGUAGGCGGCCCCGCGAGUCGGGCGUGAAAGCCCUGGGCUCAACCCAGGAAGUGCGUUCGAUACCGCGGAGCUCGAGUCCCGGAGAGGAAGGCGGAAUUCUCGGUGUAGAGGUGAAAUUCGUAGAUAUCGAGAGGAACACCAGCGGCGAAGGCGGCCUUCUGGACGGUGACUGACGCUGAGACGCGAAAGCGUGGGGAGCAAACAGG